Non-coding RNA from Parelaphostrongylus tenuis, 71 nucleotides. NCBI's taxonomy places the organism in Eukaryota, Metazoa, Nematoda, Chromadorea, Rhabditida, Metastrongylidae. The record is from the annotation of a GenBank genome assembly.
GCCUCGAUGGUGUAGUGGCAGCACGCACGCACGCUAUGAGUGAAACACAGGUUCAACUCCCGUCCGAGGUC